UGGGGGAUAUUGCACAAUGGGCGAAAGCCUGAUGCAGCGACGCCGCGUGGGGGAUGAAGGCUUUCGGGUUGUAAACCUCUUUCGCUAUCGAACCAGGCCCGCUUAGGGUGGGUUGAGGGUAGGUGGAGAAGAAGCGCCGGCUAACUACGUGCCAGCAGCCGCGGUAAUACGUAGGGCGCGAGCGUUGUCCGGAAUUAUUGGGCGUAAGGGCUUGUAGGCGGCUUGUUGCGCCUGCUGUGAAAACGCGGGGCUUAACUUCGCGCGUGCAGUGGGUACGGGCAGGCUUGAGUGUGGUAGGGGUGACUGGAAUUCCAGGUGUAGCGGUGGAAUGCGCAGAUAUCUGGAGGAACACCGAUGGCGAAGGCAGGGCACUGGGCCAUUACUGACGCUGAGGAGCGAAAGCGUGGGUAGCGAACAGG
RNAcentral lists this ribosomal RNA (419 nucleotides) under bacterium. RNAcentral's name for it is "partial 16S ribosomal RNA". It matches the Rfam family "Bacterial small subunit ribosomal RNA", at positions 355 to 776 of the family's 1533-position model. The record is from RNAcentral.